CCCGACGGUUAGGGCCGCGGCACCCGCGUCCUCCCCUCCCACAUCGACCCGAGGCAGAUGCUGCCGGGGCCCUUCCACCUGGGAGCCCGCCUUCCGGGGUGCUGUGCAGAAGGUCUCCGAUUUAAACCAAAGCGGGGGUCACCGGGCAGAGCUCUCACCCCCGACGGCACUAAGCAGCUGGUUCUUACUGAGCCCGGGUCCACCUUUUCCGGAGCAAGGUGUGCUUUUACAUCAGGAAAAGGGGGCCAGGUGGUGUUUCUGCUUUGGCCACGGUUUCACAGAUUGUCCCCCCCCCCCCCCCCAUUGCUCCCUCAUCCCCAGCACUGAUAGUGCUCCUGCUCCCCUGUGUUCAGAGGCAGUAACUAAUGGGUUCCUAUCUGACCUACCUGGCCAUCGAUGCCACAGGUGUCUGAGUGCCAAGGACCUAUAAGGCAAACAGUGCAAGGAGCAGCCCCCUCUGGUGACACUGCACAGGGGGCAUGUCAUGUAACGCCCCGCCCCAGUGUUAAGCAUGGGCUGGGAAAGCGAAGUAGAGCGUUUUUCGGUAACCGGCCCUAAGGGACAGGGCUGGGAUUUGAAGCCUAGUCUGUUACUGCUAAGGGCUUUCCACGGGAAGCCGUGAUCUCCGCUGGGCUGGUGGCACCCUCACUUACUCCACGGGACAGUUGUGCCCCGCGUCACAGAACAGGGGUAAGUGAGUGGCUGCAGGUUAGCUGUCGAGUCAGAACUGGGAUCCAGGGCUGCUUGCUCCCAGUUCAUAUAUCCAGUUUCACUGCCUCCGAAAAGUUCCUGUGAAAACAACGUCCGCGGCACCUGAGACCCGUCUUUAAGCACCUGUCCCUCCCCGUGCCCCCAGCGCAACAAAAUAAUAAUUUGUGUUAGUAAAUCUUGUUUUAAUGACAAUUGUCUCCUACUGAAGCAUGUGAAAUUAAAAUCCAAGUCACUGACUGAUGAGAAGUAGGUCUAGUAAGAGUGAAAUGAGAUAGUUUUAAAGUCUUACCAGGUCUUUUCUGUGAAGGUAAUGAAAAAAAAAAAAAAAAGCUGAAGCAUUUCCCCUCAACCCCAUAUCGUGUGCCGAUGUGCAGCUCAGCAAGAAUGCGAAGGGAAGCGGCAGGACUGCUGAAGACUUCCACGGUCACUGCAGAGCCGAGAAGGAAGGCGGAGGAGAAGGACAGGCUGAAAUCUUUUUUUUGUGUGUGACUUUCCCACCAGAUGUGUUUUCCGUUCAUUAGUUUAUCAAAUCCAAGGGAAUAUUUGUUCAUUUGUUUCUGGUCUUUCGCUCACCAUGUUGUGUAAUGUGUGUCUCACUGAAGUUAGACCAGUUUUUCCACUCUCUGCUGCUACCCUUAUGGUUUGCACAACUCGGAGGGAGACGUGUUGUGUAAUGUGUCAAGCACUCAAAAAGGAGAAAAGACGUAAAGGGGGAAAGAUGAGUGUCACCCGACGUGUCUAGAUUCCAAGGGACAUGGCCUUCAUUUGGAGAAAUCGUUUGCUUUCCUUCUGAGCCUUUUCAAACCACUGCUUUCAGAGCCCCUGGAAGAGGCCUGGUUUCUCCUGGAAUGAUCACUGAAGUCAGCCUACAUGAGUUAGUUAAACCUUGGCCGGCUCGCAGUUGUGUCCUGGAGUGGGGAGCCAGGAAGACAGAACAGGUUCCUGGUCAGCCAAGGUAGGCUGGGGGGCAUCCCCCCACAGCGUUACAGGCUGUCACCGAGCCCUCCGACACCCCCCUUCUUCCUCCGGCAGGCGUCUUCUCCCGCCUUGGCACUGCUUAUUGAUUUCCACCACGGGAACGGCCACGCGCUGUGUGAUCUUAGACACGCCGCCCAGCUCCUGAGCUGCAGACACUUCUCCUGCGAUAUGGAGGGGAGCAGACUCAUUGCCCGAAUCUUCUAACAGUGUAUGAUUGAUUUCAAUGCUGAUGGAACUGUGCAGUACAUGAGGGAAGCAUCGAGACUUCUGGGAGAGACACAAACGUAUAUGCGAAGAAAGGAGUUUUUCAUCGAAGUAUAAUCUACAAAGAAAAGUGUGCAAAUCUCAACCAAACAGCUUGGAUUGGGACGCCUGGGUGGCUCAGCAGUUGCGCAUCUGCCUUAGGCUCAAGGUGUGAUCCCGGGGUCAGACUCCCUGCAAGGAGCCUGCUUCUUCUCCCUCUGCCUGUGUCUCUGCCUCUUUCU
This is a long non-coding RNA of Canis lupus familiaris (dog), 2174 nucleotides long. RefSeq lists it as uncharacterized. The record is from RefSeq and is a predicted model, not a curated record. NCBI's taxonomy places the organism in Eukaryota, Metazoa, Chordata, Mammalia, Carnivora, Canidae. The transcript has 5 exons.